CACAGCCUGCAUGAAGCUGCAACAUGUUGUUUCACGCCACAUCAACUAUUCAUGUUAUCUUUUGCUUCUGUAUCCAACGCUGUAGAUAAAUCACUGAAGCCUUCUCUGUUCAACUCGUAGCAAGUCCAAGACAGAUAAAGCUUUUCCCACACAGACCUUCAACAACAGACCUUCACCAAGUAAAGCAGGCAUCCUGAGGAGAAUUCGAUUGUGUUAUGAAACACAUAGCAAACGGAGAAAAACAGGCUUUCCUAGUGAAGAAUUCAGAGUGGCUAAGUUAUGCACGGAAUUGGGAUU
Molecule: long non-coding RNA, 297 nt
Organism: Struthio camelus australis
Lineage: Eukaryota; Metazoa; Chordata; Aves; Struthioniformes; Struthionidae
Source: RefSeq, a predicted model, not a curated record